This 254-nucleotide ribosomal RNA is filed under the name uncultured bacterium. RNAcentral describes it as "partial 16S ribosomal RNA". It matches the Rfam family "Bacterial small subunit ribosomal RNA", at positions 524 to 776 of the family's 1533-position model. The record is from RNAcentral.
UACAGAGGGUGCGAGCGUUUAAUCGGAAUUACUGGGCGUAAAGCGUGCGCAGACGGUUGCGUAAGUCAGAUGUGAAAGCCCCGGGCUCAACCUGGGAAUUGCAUUUGAGACUGCGUAGCUAGGGUGCGGAAGAGGGAAGCGGAAUUUCCGGUGUAGCGGUGAAAUGCGUAGAUAUCGGAAGGAACACCAGUGGCGAAAGCGGCUUCCUGGUCCAGCACCGACGUUCAGGCACGAAAGCGUGGGGAGCAAACAGG